RNAcentral lists this ribosomal RNA (728 nucleotides) under Salmonella enterica subsp. enterica serovar Gaminara. RNAcentral's name for it is "partial 23S ribosomal RNA". It matches the Rfam family "Bacterial large subunit ribosomal RNA", at positions 711 to 1354 of the family's 2925-position model. Lineage: Bacteria; Pseudomonadati; Pseudomonadota; Gammaproteobacteria; Enterobacterales; Enterobacteriaceae. The record is from RNAcentral.
AGACCCGAAACCCGGUGAUCUAGCCAUGGGCAGGUUGAAGGUUGGGUAACACUAACUGGAGGACCGAACCGACUAAUGUUGAAAAAUUAGCGGAUGACCUGUGGCUGGGGGUGAAAGGCCAAUCAAACCGGGAGAUAGCUGGUUCUCCCCGAAAGCUAUUUAGGUAGCGCCUCGUGAAUUCAUCUCCGGGGGUAGAGCACUGUUUCGGCUAGGGGGCCAUCCCGGCUUACCAACCCGAUGCAAACUGCGAAUACCGGAGAAUGUUAUCACGGGAGACACACGGCGGGUGCUAACGUCCGUCGUGAAGAGGGAAACAACCCAGACCGCCAGCUAAGGUCCCAAAGUCAUGGUUAAGUGGGAAACGAUGUGGGAAGGCCCAGACAGCCAGGAUGUUGGCUUAGAAGCAGCCAUCAUUUAAAGAAAGCGUAAUAGCUCACUGGUCGAGUCGGCCUGCGCGGAAGAUGUAACGGGGCUAAACCAUGCACCGAAGCUGCGGCAGCGAACGUAUCACUUAAAGCGAUUCAGCGGAUGACGAUUGACGGAGCGAAGCGACGUCAAAGCGUAUACAAAGUCGAGUCGGUUUAAGGAUACGUUCGUUGGGUAGGGGAGCGUUCUGUAAGCCUGCGAAGGUGGCCUGUGAGGGUUGCUGGAGGUAUCAGAAGUGCGAAUGCUGACAUAAGUAACGAUAAAGCGGGUGAAAAGCCCGCUCGCCGGAAGACCAAGGGUUC